AGCUUUGCGCAGUGGCAGUAUCAUGGCCAAUGAGGUUUAUACGAGGUAUAAUUAUUGCUAAUUAAAAUUCCUGUAGUGACUAAAUGCAGGUCAUUUCAGAGGUGAUUUUUAGAUAUUCAAAUGCCACGUGAA
This 132-nucleotide small nuclear RNA is filed under the name Catagonus wagneri (Chacoan peccary). RNAcentral's name for it is "U4 spliceosomal RNA (ENSCWAG00000018745.1)". It matches the Rfam family "U4 spliceosomal RNA". From Rfam's summary of the family: U4 small nuclear RNA (U4 snRNA) is a component of the major U2-dependent spliceosome. The structure of U4 snRNA from yeast and human has been reported. The record is from Rfam by way of RNAcentral. Lineage: Eukaryota; Metazoa; Chordata; Mammalia; Artiodactyla; Tayassuidae.